GAUGAACGCUGGCGGCGUGCUUAACACAUGCAAGUCGAACGAGGGUUAUCGGUUGAAGUUUUCGGAUGGAAACUGAUAACGCCGAGUGGCGGACGGGUGAGUAACGCGUGGGGAACCUGCCCCAUUCCGGGGGAUACCAGAGGGAAACUUCUGCUAAUACCCCAUACGAGCUUAGUUGAAAUACUAAUCUUGAAAACUCCGGUGCUCAAGGAUGAGUCUGCAUCUGAUUAGCUAGUUGGCGGUGUAAUGGACCACCAAGGCGACGAUCAGUAGCUGGUUUGAGAGGAUGAUCAGCCACAAUGGGACUGAGACACGGCCCAUACUCC
RNAcentral lists this ribosomal RNA (326 nucleotides) under uncultured cyanobacterium. RNAcentral describes it as "bacterial SSU rRNA". It matches the Rfam family "Bacterial small subunit ribosomal RNA", at positions 28 to 339 of the family's 1533-position model. Lineage: Bacteria; Bacillati; Cyanobacteriota. The record is from RNAcentral.